Carassius carassius (crucian carp) is the source of this 315-nucleotide long non-coding RNA. RefSeq lists it as uncharacterized. Lineage: Eukaryota; Metazoa; Chordata; Actinopteri; Cypriniformes; Cyprinidae. The transcript is spliced from 3 exons. The record is from RefSeq and is a predicted model, not a curated record.
GAUCCAUUCCUGUGUGUCCUCUAAUAACGGCUGUGGUCAUUAGUGCUCCGCUGAGACUCUUCCUCCUCCUCUUCCUCGCGAUCUACAGGAAAGAACAUCAAACUGGUUCAAAACAACAUGAAGGUCAUACACUUUAGGAAUGACAUGAGGGUCAGUAAAUGAGGACUGACCCAUCGUUUUGGGGCGUUUUUGCCCUGUUGGAGCGGCAUAUUUGUGAGAGAUUUUCUCCAGUUAUAAUUCACCGAAAGUCAUCUAUUCAAAGUCAACAUGAAACCAUUUAAACAGUGUUUUCCAUUAAAUUGUCUUUAGCAAACA